Molecule: ribosomal RNA, 516 nt
Filed under: Nops sp. MR489
Lineage: Eukaryota; Metazoa; Arthropoda; Arachnida; Araneae; Caponiidae
Description: eukaryotic LSU rRNA
Rfam family: Eukaryotic large subunit ribosomal RNA
Source: RNAcentral
GACCCGUCUUGAAACACGGACCAAGGAGUCUAACAUGUGCGCGAGUCGCCGGGUCUUGACCAGGCCCGUGGGCGCAGUGAAAGUGAAGGCCGGCCUCGUGCUGGGCGUGUUGGGAUUCCCGGCCCUCGUCGGUCGGGAAGCACCAACGACCCGUCCUAUCCGAUUUAUCGGUGGGGCGGAGUUUGAGCGUACACGUUGGGACCCGAAAGAUGGUGAACUAUGCCUGGGCAGGACGAAGCCAGAGGAAACUCUGGUGGAGGUCCGUAGCGGUUCUGACGUGCAAAUCGAUCGUCAGACCUGGGUAUAGGGGCGAAAGACUAAUCGAACCAUCUAGUAGCUGGUUCCCUCCGAAGUUUCCCUCAGGAUAGCUGGCGCUCGGAGGAAUCAGUCUCAUCCGGUAAAGCGAAUGAUUAGAGGCCUUGGGGCCGAAACGACCUCAACCUAUUCUCAAACUUUAAAUGGGUGAGAAGUCCGGCUUGCAUGAUUGAAGCUCGGACGUUUCGGAUGUGAGCGCCC